GCAGAUAACUACUAUUAGGAAAAGCAAAAGAAAACUUCUCAAAGGAGUAUAUCAGAACUCAAACUCAUAAAACUGUAUCCAUUCAUACCUGGCUAAUCUCCCAAGUGUCUGUUGAUCGUGAUCUUCAUUUUCUGAAGAAUAUCCAGAGUCACACUUUACCCUCUCUUUCAUGGUUAAGAUGAAGCAUCUGCUGCCUGCCUUCUUCAUUAUCAUCACAAAGAGUGAGAGUUUAAAAGCUAGAAGGAUGGUGAAAUAGUGUAGCAUGCACUUGAGAGUGUUCUCCAAGGAAGAUGGGAGAAAAUUGACGUUUUUGUUCCGAGUCUUCCAAAUUUCAGUUUCCUGUGAUCUGGGUGACAAAUUAGAGCAUGGACAUUUCAAAUAUUGUUAUCACUGCUGAAAGUAUUGAUGGUUUCACUUCAUAAAUGAGAGAGGACUGACUAAAGAAAGAUUAAUAACCUUUAAAUAGUGGAAAACAUAAAUCUAUUUGUUUCAUAACAGUAUUAUCAAUUGUUGGCAAUUUACUAGAUUAAGGUAUAACAAUCAGAGAACCACAUUACUUAUUGUAAAACUAUUGGCAAAUAAUCUGAGCUUAAAUUCUGUUUCUUUUUUUUAAUCUUUAUUAUUGACAAAACUCUAAAUUACUGAAUUAAAAUUGGCAAAUCUGGACAGCUGUGUUGAUGCCAUGAUGAUUUUUUGCCUUUUCUUUUAUACCCCUUUUUU
Corvus hawaiiensis (hawaiian crow) is the source of this 720-nucleotide long non-coding RNA. RefSeq lists it as uncharacterized. The record is from RefSeq and is a predicted model, not a curated record. Lineage: Eukaryota; Metazoa; Chordata; Aves; Passeriformes; Corvidae. The transcript is spliced from 3 exons.